CCUACGGGAGGCUGCAGUGAGGAAUAUUGGUCAAUGGGCGUAAGCCUGAACAAGCCAAGUCGCGUGAGGGAUGAAGGUCCUAUGGAUCGUAAACUUCUUUUAUAAGGGAAUAAGGUGCGGACCGUGUCCGGUUUGGUAUGUACCUUAUGAAUAAGGAUCGGCUAAUUCGGUGCAAGAGGCCGCGGUAAUACGGAGGAUCCGAGCGUUAUCCGGAUUUUUUGGGUUUAAAGGGUGCGUAGGCGGCCUUUUAAGUCAGCGGUGAAAGUCUGUGGCUCAACCAUAGAAUUGCCGUUGAAACUGGGAGGCUUGAGUAUGUUUGAGGCAGGCGGAAUGCGUGGUGUAGCGGUGAAAUGCUUAGAUAUCACGCAGAACCCCGAUUGCGAAGGCAGCCUGCCAAGCCAUGACUGACGCUGAUGCACGAAAGCGUGGGGAUCAAACAGGAUUAGAUACCCCUGUAGUC
Molecule: ribosomal RNA, 460 nt
Filed under: uncultured bacterium
Lineage: Bacteria
Description: partial 16S ribosomal RNA
Rfam family: Bacterial small subunit ribosomal RNA
Source: RNAcentral